Long non-coding RNA from Eurytemora carolleeae, 840 nucleotides. RefSeq lists it as uncharacterized. NCBI's taxonomy places the organism in Eukaryota, Metazoa, Arthropoda, Copepoda, Calanoida, Temoridae. The record is from RefSeq and is a predicted model, not a curated record. The transcript is spliced from 4 exons.
CACUAGAGUUCGUCUUUUCAAGAUUUAAAAGAUCACAAUAACCCUGAGGCAGUACCCCAAAGGAGUUUCUUACAUGUCGCGUUGAAUGACAUGACUGGGAGAGAGCAUUCGCGUAACCCCUUCAAAUUUCUACGAACGAAAAACCCCUAAAUCUUUAAAAGUCACAUCUAGUGUUUGGUCUGUAUUGUUAUUAAUCUGUGUCUGAAUUACAAGGAAUGCCUGUAUUCGAGUGAGAACAAAAACGAGUAUGCAUCAUUGCAGGAUGACCGGUUGAAGGAUGAAUUGAACCAGGAUUUGGAGCAAGGAUCGUUAUUACUAGGAUGUAUUGUAGCUUUAGGAACCUAUAUCCUGAUUUCUAAGGUUCUGAUUAGUCUAAGGGCCCUGGCUGAAAAUGAAAAUAUUCUAAUGUUAAUAGAAGCAAUUAAAAAGAAAUUUGGCGGAUUUACUGAUAUUGAAAACAGGAAAAUCGAAAACAACAAAAAUGACACUAAAACAGGCAAAAAUGAAGGUGAACGAUGUUUAUUAUUUAAAGUUUUUUAAAGUUUGAACCAAAACUUUUUGAAUUGACUAAAUCCGAUUUGGCCGUACUUUAAAUUUCUAAAUGAAAAUUUGGCAGUAAAGGUGGAAUGGCUAUUGGCUGCCAAAUAAGCGACAAAAAAUCGCUAAUUUGACAGCAAAAAUUGGAUGAAUGCCAAGUAAGCAAUUUUUGUUGAAAAAGAGCUAUUUUUUAUUUCAAAAUUUAGAGCGCGGUUGCUUAAUCCACUUCUUUGUACGGCCAUGGGUAGGCAAAAUUCCAUUAAAACUUUUAAUUCUAAAUUUUUUAAAAACUUUAACGGGACU